RNAcentral lists this ribosomal RNA (728 nucleotides) under uncultured bacterium. Its description in RNAcentral is "bacterial SSU rRNA". It matches the Rfam family "Bacterial small subunit ribosomal RNA", at positions 94 to 801 of the family's 1533-position model. The record is from RNAcentral.
AGUGGCGAACGGGUGAGUAACGCGUAGGCAAUCUGCUUUCUAGAUGGGGACAACAUCCCGAAAGGGGUGCUAAUACCGAAUGUUGUAUGAUCUUCGCAUGGAGAUGAUACUAAAGGUGGCCUCUGAAUAUGCUACCGCUAGAAGAUGAGCCUGCGUCUGAUUAGCUAGUUGGAGGGGUAACGGCCCACCAAGGCUUCGAUCAGUAGCCGGUCUGAGAGGAUGAACGGCCACACUGGGACUGAGACACGGCCCAGACUCCUACGGGAGGCAGCAGUGGGGAAUCUUCCGCAAUGGACGAAAGUCUGACGGAGCAACGCCGCGUGAGUGAAGAAGGUUUUCGGAUCGUAAAGCUCUUUCGUUAGGGACGAACGUGCUCUUUGUGAAUAAUGAGGAGUAAUGACGGUACCUAAAUAAGAAGCCACGGCUAACUACGUGCCAGCAGCCGCGGUAAUACGUAGGUGGCAAGCGUUGUCCGGAAUUAUUGGGCGUAAAGCGCGCGCAGGCGGGAUAUCAAGUCUGUCUUAAAAGUGCGAGGCUCAACCUCGUGAGGGGACAGAAACUGGUAUUCUUGAGUGUCGGAGAGGAAAGUGGAAUUCCAAGUGUAGCGGUGAAAUGCGUAGAGAUUUGGAAGAACACCAGUGGCGAAGGCGACUUUCUGGACGAUGUCUGACGCUGAGGCGCGAAAGCUAGGGGAGCGAACGGGAUUAGAUACCCCGGUAGUCCUAGCC